This 254-nucleotide ribosomal RNA is filed under the name uncultured bacterium. RNAcentral describes it as "partial 16S ribosomal RNA". It matches the Rfam family "Bacterial small subunit ribosomal RNA", at positions 524 to 776 of the family's 1533-position model. The record is from RNAcentral.
UACGUAGGGGGCGAGCGUUGUCCGGAUUCAUUGGGCGUAAAGAGCUCGUAGGCGGUUUGGUAAGUCGGGUGUGAAAACCCCAGGCUCAACCUGGGGACGCCACCUGAUACUGCUAUGACUUGAGUCUGGUAGGGGAUCACGGAAUUCCUGGUGUAGCGGUGAAAUGCGCAGAUAUCAGGAGGAACACCGGUGGCGAAGGCGGUGAUCUGGGCCAGUACUGACGCUGAGACGCGAAAGCGUGGGGAGCGAACAGG